Molecule: RNA transcript, 423 nt
Organism: Schistocerca cancellata (South American locust)
Lineage: Eukaryota; Metazoa; Arthropoda; Insecta; Orthoptera; Acrididae
Gene name: vasotab-like
Exons: 3
Source: RefSeq, a predicted model, not a curated record
GUCUUAGUCAUUCACCAAGUUUCAUUUGCAAGGGCCAACAUCCAUAGUAACUAUCAACUUACGGACAUACAUCUGCAAGUAUUUUAAACCAUGGCCGGUGCGUCCUUCGCUAACCUUGUGCUGCCUCCGCACUUGCACAAGCCGUUGGCUCCCAUCUGCUGUCCGCGUUUUGUACCUCCUGAAUGCUGCCCGUCUUAUUGCCCAGAGGAGUAUAAACCUGUCUGUGCCACUGACUGCCACCAUCUGCGGACUUUUGCUAACAUUUGUUUCAUGCAUGCUACAAACUGCCUGGAAAAUACGAGAUACCGCAAAGUCUAUGACGGAAAAUGCCCGAACAGCCACCCAAUGCUCCAGUUCCAUGAUAAAGAAAUUGAGUGGAUGUAAAAAUGAAACUUGUAACAUUUUGAAUGAAUAAAAUAGUCU